UGGGGAAUAUUGCACAAUGGGCGAAAGCCUGAUGCAGCGACGCCGCGUGAGGGAUGACGGCCUUCGGGUUGUAAACCUCUUUCAGCAGGGAAGAAGCGAAAGUGACGGUACCUGCAGAAGAAGCGCCGGCUAACUACGUGCCAGCAGCCGCGGUAAUACGUAGGGCGCAAGCGUUGUCCGGAAUUAUUGGGCGUAAAGAGCUCGUAGGCGGUUAGUCGCGUCUGCUGUGAAAACUCGAGGCUCAACCUCGGGCUUGCAGUGGGUACGGGCUGACUAGAGUGCGGUAGGGGUGACUGGAAUUCCUGGUGUAGCGGUGGAAUGCGCAGAUAUCAGGAGGAACACCGAUGGCGAAGGCAGGUCACUGGGCCGCAACUGACGCUGAGGAGCGAAAGCAUGGGGAGCGAACAGGAUUAGAUACCCUGGUAGUCCAUGCCGUAAACGUUGGGCACUAGGUGUGGGGUCCAUUUCCACGGAUUCCGUGCCGCAGCAAACGCAUUAAGUGCCCCGCCUGGGGAGUACGGCCGCAAGGCUAAAACUUAAAUGAAUUGACGGGGUCAUAGCUGUUUCCU
RNAcentral lists this ribosomal RNA (569 nucleotides) under uncultured bacterium. RNAcentral describes it as "partial 16S ribosomal RNA". It matches the Rfam family "Bacterial small subunit ribosomal RNA", at positions 355 to 1375 of the family's 1533-position model. The record is from RNAcentral.